Molecule: long non-coding RNA, 1889 nt
Organism: Fukomys damarensis (Damara mole-rat)
Lineage: Eukaryota; Metazoa; Chordata; Mammalia; Rodentia; Bathyergidae
Exons: 3
Source: RefSeq, a predicted model, not a curated record
CAGAAAUGAGAAUCUGAGCACGUCUCCACCUGAUCUGGGGCCUGCACUCCCUGUGGGUACAGGUGACUGUGGGGACCCUCCAUAGGCAGCAAGCAGCAGAUCUUCUUUGGGGUUCUCUUAGUCCUACUGGCUCAGCCUGUGGGGGUGUGGCCAGUGUCCCACUUUUCUCCUGAGUGUGCAGUGACUUUGCUCCUGGGCCUGGUGAGGAGCCCCGGGUGCCUCUUAGCUCAGCUCCCACAGGCCAUCUGCAGACCCAGGCCUUCCCACAAGCUGGCCUGUCCACUCCUCCCCUCCUCAGCUCAUGUCCUGUACUGCCUCGCUGGCUGCUGACACCUCCCACUUCUAGGAAGCCCUCCCGGACUGGCAUCUGUGGUGACUUUUCUUGGAAGCUCUGAAAGGAUUCACCGUCGGGCUGAAGGAAGCAGUAUCCUCCCCCUCACACGAGUGGGUGACUUCGCUGUGUUUCAUGCCUUUGGUUUUGUUCCAAAGGGAUUUGGAUCCAGUCAGGAUGUGAAAAGCUGAGCCUGGCCUCCUCAGCUGAGGAUGACGCUCGGCAUGGGCUCCACUUUCUAACUGCCUAGACCUGCUCCACAGCCAUUGGCCCAAACCUCACCUUUGCCACGGCACUGGCAGAGCCUCUGACCUGGCCCUUGACUGUCCUUUCCCUGGAGCCAGGUGGGUACAGAUAACACUGCCAUUUUGACGCUGCCAGCGGCUUCUCACCCUCAGCUACUUUUCCGCAUGGUGGCCAUCGGUGUGGUGCCAGUGGCGCAGCACCUGCAGUGACGGUUAAGGUUUCCCUCAAGGUGCUCCUGCCACAGACCCCAAAACAGGGCUGACUUCUCGCUCGACGUGGCAUCCUGGACAAAGCGACAGUGCUGCACACACACAGGAAUCUCCUGUCAUGCUGGGCACCAAGGAAAACAGGACUCUUGGUGCCCAGGGUUGGGCCCCCAGGACCCCAGAUUGACUCUGACACAGAAGGCCAGUGCCAGCAGGUUCCAGCAGGUGGGAGCCAGAAGAGAAGAGUUUGAGCCCAGCUCUCGGCCAGGAGACUCCUGUGCUGUCCCAGCACUGAGCCAGCAAGAACGGGAGGCGUCUCUGGAAAGUUGGCAUGGGGGUAGGUGCAGAGUGAGGCACCGAGCAGGACAAUGCGAGGCUGGGGCACUUACCCUGCUCUCAUCCCAGAACCAGGCAGCUGGGUGUCUCUGUCUCCCAGGUGGAAUUAGGUCUAGCCGAGUGCUGGUACCAGCAUUGCAUGGGCAUCACAGGCCCCUGCAGCCCGCCCCAUGCUCAGGCUGCCACCCUGCUGCUCCACGUCCACAGACUGAGCCUUUCAGGAGGAUGUGUGGGGCUCAGAGCCACCAGACUCCUGAGCAAGGAACACCCCAUGGAAAGGUGGGCUCUACACCUGCUGGAGCAGGGCACUUAGAUGGAACAGAGAACUGGAGGUAAUAAACACAUGUAUGAAAAACCCUAUCCCUCAUACCCUUGAAGAGAUAACGUAUCACAUCCGUGGUCUAGGAAUAGGAUGUUGCAAAAAAAAAAAGGAACAAAGAAUAAGAGCUCUUAGAAAUUAAAAAAAAAUAGCAGAAAUGAAACAUUUGAUUGAAGUUAAAUUUCUCAUGAAGUAGAAACAACAAAUGAAAAGCAGUAGGGAAAACAUAAGAUUACGCCAUCAAGGGAUGGGAAUUCAGCUCAGUGGCACCAUACCUGCCUUGAAAGCGCAAGGUCCUGAGUUUGAUCCCCAGUAUGGGAAACAACAACUGACCAUUAAUCCGGGAGAUCUAAGCUGUAAUUAAUAUGAGUUCCACAAAGCACAGAGGACAUCAUCAAGUUAAUAAUCUACCAGAAAGUGUCUACCCAGGACGCCGGCUCCAGGCUGAAGG